UCUAAGAUCCAAAAAAUUACCAGAAUAUUAAAAGGUAUAUGCUUAAAAUUUAAAGAAUUUGGCGGCAGCUUAGUCUAGUUAGAGGAACCUGUUUUAGAAUUGAUAAACCUCGCAAUAUCUUACUUGUUUUAUGGUUUGUAUAUCGUCAUUAUUAGAUAACUUUUAUAGAAGUAGUUAUUUAAAAUAAGUGUUUAGGUAAAUUAGAUCAAGGUGCAGCUUAUGGACAAGUUAAAAUGGGUUACAAUAAUAUUCAUUUAUUAUGAAUUAAGUGUUGAAAGAGACUUAUGAAGGAGGAUUUAAUUGUAAUAGGGGUUUAAUAUGCCUAAGAGAUAUAAGUUCUAAGUUGUGU
Molecule: ribosomal RNA, 349 nt
Filed under: Jonas distinctus
Lineage: Eukaryota; Metazoa; Arthropoda; Malacostraca; Decapoda; Corystidae
Description: partial 12S ribosomal RNA
Source: RNAcentral